Molecule: ribosomal RNA, 482 nt
Filed under: Ferrisia virgata (striped mealybug)
Lineage: Eukaryota; Metazoa; Arthropoda; Insecta; Hemiptera; Pseudococcidae
Description: partial 12S ribosomal RNA
Source: RNAcentral
AUAAAAUUUUUAUUCAUUUAAAUUAAUUAAUUUAAAUUACUUUAAAAUUUUUAUAAAAUUUAUUUAAAUUAAAUUAAAUUUAAUUUUAUUAAUUAUAAUUCAUUAAAUAUUAAUUAUUCUAUAUCUUGAUUUAAUUUUAUUAUUAAAAAUAUUUAUAAAAUAAUCUUUUAAAAUUUAUUUUUAUUAUAAUGAUAUAUAAGAUUUAAUUAAUUUAAUUUUAUUGUGCUAUAUCAAUUUAAUUAAUAAAUUCCCCUUAUAAAAAUAUUACUGCCAAAAUUCAAUAAUUUUAAUAUUUUUAUUUAUUAAUUUAAUUAAUUAAUUUUUUAUUUUAAUAAUAGAGUAUCUAAUUCUAGUUUUAAUUAUAUUUUCAUAAUUUUAAAUUUAUUUUUUUUAUAUUUUAAAAUUUCACCUUUAUUUAAAUAUAUAAAUUUUUUAUAUUUAAUUUAAUUAUAAAUUUUAUUAUUUUAAAUUUUUUCUAAAGU